Molecule: ribosomal RNA, 264 nt
Filed under: uncultured bacterium
Lineage: Bacteria
Description: partial 16S ribosomal RNA
Rfam family: Bacterial small subunit ribosomal RNA
Source: RNAcentral
CUUAGUGGCGGACGGGUGAGUAACGCGUGGGUAACCUGCCUUGCACUGGGGGAUAACACGUUAGAAAUAGGUGCUAAUACCGCAUAAGCGCACGGUCCUGCAUGGGACAGUGUGAAAAACUCCGGUGGUGCAAGAUGGACCCGCGUCUGAUUAGCUGGUUGGCGGGGUAAAGGCCCACCAAGGCGACGAUCAGUAGCCGGCCUGAGAGGGUGGACGGCCACAUUGGGACUGAGACACGGCCCAAACUCCUACGGAAGGCAGCAG